AACUAGUUAAACUCCACCUUGUCAAUUUCCUCAGGCCAAUCAAACUGCAGCUCGUUCUACAAAGGAGCUGUGUUUGGGGCGGGCCUCCUCUUUAGCACAAUCCAAGAUGGCCGCUGCAGAGGACACACCCGCAAGCCCCUGCGUGUUCGUGGAGGUGGGCAGCGGCUCCGGAGCGGUUCGUGGUUUUCUGUGGUCGGACCUUCAGCUCUACCUAUUGUUUUUCUGAUGAUGUUUACUGUCAGGUUGAAUGUUAGAUGAUCAGCUCAGCCAGAACUGCCUCGCCCCGUCAUCACUGACCUGGCAACCUAUGUGUGGUUGAGUGAAAAAGUCACACAAAGUUUUUGUUUUCCAGGCUUUGUGGAUGUCAUCACUCCAUCAGAAGAGUCGUCUGCAUCAAUGUUGAGGUGACUGAAAGUUUCUUCUCUGUGGUUGCUGCUCUCCAGAAGAGGCCACUUUGUCAAGAACAAGGCAGGAGAUCAUGGGCUGGAAGAAGAGACUGUUUCCAUAGAAACCAGCAGAGGUGAAAGACAGAUUCACUUCUCUCUCCAGCCAGUGCAGCUUCCUGAUGGCAUCACCUCUUCAUACAUCAUGUUGUUUCAUUAAAGACAAAUCAAAGUG
This is a long non-coding RNA of Gambusia affinis (western mosquitofish), 618 nucleotides long. RefSeq lists it as uncharacterized. Lineage: Eukaryota; Metazoa; Chordata; Actinopteri; Cyprinodontiformes; Poeciliidae. The transcript has 7 exons. The record is from RefSeq and is a predicted model, not a curated record.